Molecule: long non-coding RNA, 377 nt
Filed under: Gallus gallus (chicken)
Lineage: Eukaryota; Metazoa; Chordata; Aves; Galliformes; Phasianidae
Source: RNAcentral
GGCUCAUGAGUGGCCUGCCAGGAGGGAGAAGAGCAGUUUUCAUUGUUGGUGUAUAUGUUGUGGUUGUGCACAUACUUUCCAGUCAGCAUGGAGGAACGCGAUGGGCAGCACAUUGGGGUGGUUACGAAGGCAUUGAUGAAGGAUGCUCCUCCAUUCUCCAUAAUCCGUCUGGUUUUGUUCAUCACUUGUAAGGACCCUAGCUCCACAUCUUGGUCAUCUGUGAGCACAAGGAUGAUAUUUGGUCUGAUAUUUUUUCGCUCCUGCUGCACACGGCCUCUGAACCUCAGGGACUUGAGAGUGGAAGAAUGACUUGUCAGCAGUUCAGAACUGAGCACUGCCAAGAGGAGUGCAAACCAAGAGGUCUUCAUAGUAGUUCC